Molecule: long non-coding RNA, 2138 nt
Organism: Hippocampus comes (tiger tail seahorse)
Lineage: Eukaryota; Metazoa; Chordata; Actinopteri; Syngnathiformes; Syngnathidae
Exons: 2
Source: RefSeq, a predicted model, not a curated record
GAACACACACACACACACACACACACACACACUCUAUAUAUUUUCAUUAAUUUGGAUUUUCUUCUUUCCCAGCUUCCUAUUAUAUCAUGAGUCAAAUUUAGAGACAUAUUAAGGCCACACACACACAAAAAAAAAGACUCAGAGCUGUCCCUAAUCAUUGACCCAAUUAUGAUACCUCAUUAAUGAUAAUUUCAGAACCCUGAUCACGUGUGUUUUGCGUUCGCAAGCCACAAUAAUUGUGCGGGUGUCGCUCAUGAUGGACGUUCCAGCCCUAAUUGUCUCACUGCUGCUUUUUAUUAAUUUAAUUAUUAUUAUUUAAUUUUUUUUAAUUUGGGGAGGUAGGGAGGGGGUGGGAUGUCAAUGCUUGUUUUCCCUAUGCUGCUUUGGAAUAAUUUCAAAAAAUUAAUUUAAAUUUUAUUUCUAUUUUCAUAGAAGAGUAUAAAACAUAAUAUUCUUUUUACAUUUAGAUUUAAAAAAUAUAUUUAUAAUAAUAAUUAACUCUCUGCUACUUUAUAAAAAAAAAUCCUAUCUUUUAUGAGAUUUAAAAAAUAAUUUCUUUUCCUUUUUACUGUGCGGCAGUUGCGAACAAAGUGACGGAUGUUUCCGCACUAACAUGAACAACCUUCUCGAAUGUUUCUCGACAUGACAUCGGCAACGUCGACAACACACUCAUGUAGCAAACAGAAUCUUGUUUGUUUUCCAACAAAGCUCAAGGACGAGACCAAACAUGAAAUUCAAAAAGUCCGUCAGUCAAGUUCAUGGCUCGCGUUGGAUAUGAAAAUGAAAAGGAAUGUCUUUGUACCAAACCAGAAUGCACUUUUUCCACCCCCGCCCCGAGAAGGAAAUGGGUGGGGUUUAGUUGUUUGUAUUGAAGCACAGAGAUGACCUCAACGACCGCAAACACACGUUGUAAUAUGUAAAUAUUGAGCAUAACAACUAUUUAUAAAUGAGCAUGAAUGAAUGACGGCGGCGACGCUCGCAGGAAUGUGAUCUUUUGUUUUUUUUCCAAAUAUUGCAUGCUUUGAGGCGGGUAGCUGGCAAUGUUGACAGCGAUUGAUUUAGCUUUUAUCGCGCUAUAAAUUUGCAAAUAAUUCUGCUUGGAGUCUUCUAAGCAAUAAUUGCUUUUGUCGUUUUGGGCUCAUUGAACGUGAAUCCGAUUAUACGUACACCAAUUAAUCAAUGCCUACAGGUAGUUUAAUCAACGGGUUUCAAAACGGGCUUUUGAAUGAAUACAAAUUGUAUAAAAUGAAAGUUAGCGACUGAUCCACUCGCAUGUGUGCUGGUCGCUGUUCAAAAGUGUCCAACUUAACAGUUUUUUGGAACGUAGCAUCGGCAGGCUGCGCUUGUGGCGCGUUUGAGCGAGCUCGGGAAACUUGCUUUUAAUAAGCAUACGCUACUACAAGUCAGAAGACGGAAACUUUCUCGGCAACGGUAGAACGCUGUGAGACGCAAAAACGUAUUUUGGUGAAUGUAAAAACGCACAAACCACUCAGAGGUGGAUUGACACGGCAACACAGGCAUGGCAACUCCUCAACAGAACCAAUGACGGCCGGCCUCGGCUGCGACCUUCUCCAGAUUAUGACUUGGAUAAGAAAACAUCCAAACGGUCAAACACAACACGAAUGUAACGCGCUUGCUCUCUCUCUAUCUCUCUCACACACACACACACACACACACACACACACAACACACACACACACACACACACACACACACACACACACACACACACACUGUACAUAUCUGUGAACGUAACAUUUUGCUUCGACAGUGAUUCCAAGCCGCCAAGAGAACAUCAUGUAAUCCUCUUGCAUGUGACUUAUUCGGUCCUAACCCUGAAUGUAAUUGUUGAACACGGGAGUAGCGCUAACGCUAAAGUCCGAACGCCGAUUUCGGCUGUGCUUCUGUUUGUUUCUGUCGUGAUCAAGAUGCUGUACAGCGCUAACUUAUGUUUGACGCUCUCGCUCUCUCUCUCUCUCUCUUUCUGGAAACGUAUAGCAACAUUGUCCUCCUCCUCUGGCGCAACUGUUUCAACUCUCGCUGUCUCUCUCUGGUCAAGUAGAAGUGCUGCACACGCAUUCAUCGUAAAAGGGAAACAGCCCGGUGAUCAACAAAUAAAGUACACUCAACUCCACUCU